AAGCAUAUCAAUAAGCGGAGGAAAAGAAACUAACAAGGAUUCCCCUAGCAACUGCGAGUGAAGCGGGAAAAGCUCAAAUUUGAAAUCUGGCAGUCUUUUUUUUCUUCUUUGGCUGUCCGAGUUGUAAUCUAGAGAAGCGCUUACCUGCGCUGGACCAUGUACAAGUCUCCUGGAAUGGAGCGUCGCAGAGGGUGAGAAUCCCGUCUUUGACAUGGACCGCCAGCGUGUUGUGGUGCGCUCUCAAAGAGUCGAGUUGUUUGGGAAUGCAGCUCUAAACGGGUGGUAAACUCCAUCUAAAGCUAAAUAUUGGCGAGAGACCGAUAGCGAACAAGUACCGUGAGGGAAAGAUGAAAAGGACUUUGGAAAGAGAGUUAAACAGUAUGUGAAAUUGUUGAAAGGGAAACGCUUGAAGUCAGUUGUGUCGGUGAGGGAUCAGCCUGGCUUCGUUGCUGGGUGAAUUUCCUAGCCUGACAGGCCAACAUCAGUCUUGACUGCCAGAAAAGAGCGGAGGGAACGUGGCACCUUUGGGUGUGUUAUAGCCCUUUGUCGUGUGUGGCGGUCGGGACUGAGGGACGCAGCGUGCCGCGAGGCCGGGUUUCGACCACGUUCACGCUUAGGAUGUUGGCUUUUAAUGGCUUCAAUCGACCCGUCUUGAAACACGGACCAAGGAGUCUAACAUGCCUGCGAGUGUUUGGGUGGAAAACCCUUGCGCGCAAUGAAAGUGAAAGUUGAGAUCCCUGUCGUGGGGAGCAUCGACGCCCGGACUUGAGCUUUCAGCGACGGAUCCGCGGUGGAGCAUGCAUGUUGGGACCCGAAAGAUGGUGAACUAUGCCUGAAUAGGGCAAAGCCAGAGGAAACUCUGGUGGAGGCUCGUAGCGAUUCUGACGUGCAAGUCGAUCGUCAAAUUUGGGUAUAGGGGCGAAAGACUAAUCGAACCGUCUAGUAGCUGGUUCCUGCCGAA
RNAcentral lists this ribosomal RNA (961 nucleotides) under Amanita ceciliae. RNAcentral's name for it is "LSU rRNA". It matches the Rfam family "Eukaryotic large subunit ribosomal RNA", at positions 36 to 965 of the family's 3401-position model. Lineage: Eukaryota; Fungi; Basidiomycota; Agaricomycetes; Agaricales; Amanitaceae. The record is from RNAcentral.